AGCAUCAUUAAUUCCAGAGAGACUGUAUGUAUGCAUCUCCGAGACUGUGUGUGUGACUGUGGAUUCCGACUGCUUUGCAAAUGGGUAUCUCUCCACAAGAGCUGUGUGUCCAGCAUUCAUUAAGACAGACCUCUCAGUAACUGGGGACCUGGCCUGCCUAGCCCGCUGAGCUUGGGGAAGAUCGGAUGGAGAUGAGUUGAUUAUCUUCCACGAAGUAAUAGCUCACCACCUGCCGGGGUUUAAACUACUUAUGCAGCAUCCCCACACCCUUGGACUCUUGGCAAUUCUGCUUUCUUGGGGAAAAACCUGGGGCAAGAGGAGGUCGUUUUUAACAAGUUAGUGUCCUCUCCCUCCCUUACAAGUUGAUGCAAAGGCUCAGGCUGUGACUCCACUGGAUUGCACCUUCACAUCCAAAUAGAAGAAG
RNAcentral lists this long non-coding RNA (424 nucleotides) under Camelus dromedarius (Arabian camel). RNAcentral describes it as "lncRNA (ENSCDRG00005007161.1)". The record is from RNAcentral. Lineage: Eukaryota; Metazoa; Chordata; Mammalia; Artiodactyla; Camelidae.